CCCCACCACCCAGGAGACCAGCUACACCCUCAUCCUCAACCAGGUUGAACCCCCAAUAUUCCCCACCACCCAGGAGACCAGCUUCACCCAGAUCCCCAACCAGGUUAAACCCCCAAUAACACCCACCACCCAGGAGACCAGCUACACCCACACCAAACCAAAGAAGACGGGGAGAAAGUCCUGUCACCUUGUCACCCUCAAAAAACCCUCCAAAUCAAUGAGCAUGACAGUCAACUCCAUCCCAUCCAAUCCCAUCCAACCCCAUCCAACCCCAUUCUACCCCAUCCAACCCCAUCCUACCCCAUCCAACCCCGACCAAGGAAGAGGAAAUAUGACUACAUGCAAAAGAGUGUCCAGUGCAUCCGGGGCAAACGAUUUUCCCUAUUCUCAAGAUUCUUGCCAAUAGAACUUCAAAGGAGGGUCAGGAGCAGAAGGUGAGGUGGAAGCCAUGCUCUGGAUGUGGCAAGAAAUGGGACGAUGACUGGAUCAAGGCAGAGGACCGCGUUUCUCCAGUUUAACCUACUUUAUGCACAAAUGUAUUCCUCACUCUCCCUUCACAUGUAUCACUGUCAAUUAUAAAUGGUUGGCCAAAUUCACCAUGGUUUACCAUUGAAACAUUCAUGGAACAUCAGCAUGCCAACCAUUUGAUCUCAAUCAGUUUCAUGAGAAUAUGCAUUUAGAUAUUCUUCAUAUAAAGUGAGCUACAAACGUAUUKCAACAGUGACACAUUUUUUGUUGUUUUGGAUGUGUACUCCAGAACUUUGUAUUUGAAAUUAUACAAUGACUAUGAGGUUAAAGUGCAGACUAUCGUCUUUAAUUUGAGUGUAUUUUCAUCCAUAUCUGGUGAACCGUUUACAAAUUACAGCACAUUUUGUACAUAGCCCCACCAUUUUGGGGGACCAAAAGUAUUGUGAUAAAUUCAUUUAUGUGUAUUAAAGUAGUCAGAAGUUGAGUAUUUUUGUGUUGUUAAAUAUAUACGUUUAAUUUCACUCAAAUUUUUUACCUUUAGUCUAUGCCUAUUUCUAUAACACAAUGCACAUAGCUGAUUAUCUUAUGGAGUAGAUACAAUUAUAUUUACUAAAGACAGUUCAUUUGCAAGUUUAAUGGUCUAUUUUUCUCCAGAUCAAACGUGUUGGUCUUUCAGCCAAAGCACCCCAUACAGAAGCAAUCAGUUGAUAUAAUAAAGAACAAACAUAAAUAAUC
This is a long non-coding RNA of Salvelinus sp. IW2-2015, 1203 nucleotides long. RefSeq lists it as uncharacterized. The record is from RefSeq and is a predicted model, not a curated record. Lineage: Eukaryota; Metazoa; Chordata; Actinopteri; Salmoniformes; Salmonidae.